This 70-nucleotide transfer RNA is filed under the name Marmota marmota marmota (Alpine marmot). It matches the Rfam family "tRNA". From Rfam's summary of the family: Transfer RNA (tRNA) molecules are approximately 80 nucleotides in length. Their secondary structure includes four short double-helical elements and three loops (D, anti-codon, and T loops). Further hydrogen bonds mediate the characteristic L-shaped molecular structure. tRNAs have two regions of fundamental functional importance: the anti-codon, which is responsible for specific mRNA codon recognition, and the 3' end, to which the tRNAs corresponding amino acid is attached (by aminoacyl-tRNA synthetases). tRNAs cope with the degeneracy of the genetic code in two manners: having more than one tRNA (with a specific anti-codon) for a particular amino acid; and 'wobble' base-pairing, i.e. permitting non-standard base-pairing at the 3rd anti-codon position. The record is from Rfam by way of RNAcentral. Lineage: Eukaryota; Metazoa; Chordata; Mammalia; Rodentia; Sciuridae. RNAcentral also lists the same sequence under 3 other names.
GGAGGUAGCCCAAUGGUAGAGUGCUUGCCUAGUAUGCAUGAGGCCCUGGGUUCAAUCUCCAGUACUGCCA